ACGGAGGAUCCGAGCGUUAUCCGGAUUUAUUGGUUUUAAAGGGUGCGUAGGUGGGCUGUUAAGUCAGCGGUGAAAGUUUGUGGCUCAACCAUAAAAUUGCCGUUGAAACUGCCAGUCUUGAGUAUGUUUGAGGUAGGCGGAAUGCGUGGUGUAGCGGUGAAAUGCUUAGAUAUCACGCAGAACUCCGAUUGCGAAGGCAGCUUACUAAACCAUAAAUGACACUGAAGCACGAAAGCGUGGGUAUCAAACAG
This 251-nucleotide ribosomal RNA is filed under the name uncultured bacterium. Its description in RNAcentral is "partial 16S ribosomal RNA". It matches the Rfam family "Bacterial small subunit ribosomal RNA", at positions 525 to 775 of the family's 1533-position model. The record is from RNAcentral.